Molecule: ribosomal RNA, 463 nt
Filed under: uncultured bacterium
Lineage: Bacteria
Description: partial 16S ribosomal RNA
Rfam family: Bacterial small subunit ribosomal RNA
Source: RNAcentral
GAUGAACGCUGACAGAAUGCUUAACACAUGCAAGUCUUUGGCGAAGCUGUGCUUGCACAGCCUAGCCAAGGCGGACGGGUGAGUAACGCGUAAGGAACUUGCCCUGCAGUCAGGGAUAACAGACGGAAACGACUGAUAAGACCUGGUAAAGUCAGGCGGACUCAUGUCCAGCCUGAUGAAAAGAGAUGCUGCAGGAGAGCCUUGCGUCCUAUUAGCUUGUUGGUGGGGUAACGGCCCACCAAGGCGAUGAUAGGUAGCCGGCCUGAGAGGGUGGACGGCCACAAGGGGACUGAGAUACGGCCCUUACUCCUACGGGAGGCAGCAGUGGGGAAUAGUGGACAAUGGGGGCAACCCUGAUCCAGCAAUUCUGUGUGGACGAUGAAGGUUUUCGGAGUGUAAAGUGCUUUCAGCAGGGAAGAAAAAAAUGACGGUACCUGCAGAAGAAGCGACGGCUAAAUACGUG